RNAcentral lists this transfer RNA (80 nucleotides) under Leeuwenhoekiella sp. RNAcentral describes it as "tRNA-Leu". It matches the Rfam family "tRNA". Rfam says of the family: Transfer RNA (tRNA) molecules are approximately 80 nucleotides in length. Their secondary structure includes four short double-helical elements and three loops (D, anti-codon, and T loops). Further hydrogen bonds mediate the characteristic L-shaped molecular structure. tRNAs have two regions of fundamental functional importance: the anti-codon, which is responsible for specific mRNA codon recognition, and the 3' end, to which the tRNAs corresponding amino acid is attached (by aminoacyl-tRNA synthetases). tRNAs cope with the degeneracy of the genetic code in two manners: having more than one tRNA (with a specific anti-codon) for a particular amino acid; and 'wobble' base-pairing, i.e. permitting non-standard base-pairing at the 3rd anti-codon position. The record is from RNAcentral. Lineage: Bacteria; Pseudomonadati; Bacteroidota; Flavobacteriia; Flavobacteriales; Flavobacteriaceae. RNAcentral also lists the same sequence under 1 other name.
GCCUUGGUGGCGGAAUUGGUAGACGCGCGCGACUCAAACUCGCGUUCUUCGGAGUGUGGGUUCGAUUCCCACCCAAGGUA